AUUGAACGCUGGCGGCAGGCCUAACACAUGCAAGUCGAACGAGUGGCGGACGGGUGCGUAAUGUCUGGGAAACUGCCUGAUGGAGGGGGAUAACUACUGGAAACGGUAGCUAAUACCGCAUACCCUCGGAUGUGCCCAGAUGGGAUUAGCUUGUAGGUGGGUUAAAGGCUCACCUAGGCGACGAUCCCUAGCUGGUCUGAGAGGAUGACCAGCCAAACGGGAACUGAGACACGGUCCAGACGCCUACGGGAGGCAGCAGUGGGGAAUAUUGGACAAUGGGCGCAAGCCUGAUGCAGCCAUACCGCGUGGGUGAAGAAGGCCUUCGGGUUGUAAAGCCCUUUUGUUGUGAAAGCGGUACCCAAAGAAUAAGCACCGGCUAACUUCGUGCCAGCCGCCGCGGUAAUAC
RNAcentral lists this ribosomal RNA (406 nucleotides) under uncultured bacterium. RNAcentral describes it as "partial 16S ribosomal RNA". It matches the Rfam family "Bacterial small subunit ribosomal RNA", at positions 30 to 526 of the family's 1533-position model. The record is from RNAcentral.